Long non-coding RNA from Monopterus albus (swamp eel), 206 nucleotides. RefSeq lists it as uncharacterized. The record is from RefSeq and is a predicted model, not a curated record. NCBI's taxonomy places the organism in Eukaryota, Metazoa, Chordata, Actinopteri, Synbranchiformes, Synbranchidae. The transcript is spliced from 2 exons.
GACGCAGGGAGAUAUUGACACACUCACUCUUUUUAAUUUCCCACAUCAAAGGGCCGUUUGAAGACACAGCUGGGGAGAGAAGAAAAGAAAGAGUGAGCAAAGUAUUGAGCAGGGAGGUGUUGGUGAAGAAGAAGAGGUAGCCGAAGGUUUGGGAGGUGAGAGGUGGGGACAGACACGCCUCCCGCGACAGCAUCAGAGAACAGCGA